Long non-coding RNA from Neofelis nebulosa (Clouded leopard), 491 nucleotides. RefSeq lists it as uncharacterized. The transcript is spliced from 3 exons. The record is from RefSeq and is a predicted model, not a curated record. NCBI's taxonomy places the organism in Eukaryota, Metazoa, Chordata, Mammalia, Carnivora, Felidae.
UGAGGCAGGAAUCUGAAGUAGUAGCUGCCCGAAUCCCUCGGCUCCCCGGCCGCCAUCGCGCUCCUCGCUCGGCUUUUGGUAAAGUCAGCUACAGAGAAGAAAACGUUAUUCAGAAAAUCAAAAGGAACAGAAAAUACAUUCACAGCACUUACUGUACUGGCCGUAAUCACGUAGAAGUGGACCCACACAGUUCACAUCUGUGUUGUUCAAGGGCCGACCGCGACAGCUAAUAUUGUUGCACAUGUGCUGUUUUACCAGGCAGCGUCCUAAACAUUUUCCGUGGUUUGUCGCUUAAUUCUCUUAGGAACCAAAGCUGAAAGAUGAAGGUCCAUGAGCCCUUGGACAAUCAGUCCGUGUCAGUGAAAGCUCCCCAUAGGAGAGGAACACCAAGCAGACGUUUCUGGGAAGAGGUUACCUUCUGUUUAUAGCUGGCUUACAAACAUGACUCAAAUGAUUAAAAAACCUGCCAAUUAAAUCCCAUGUAAUUUCUA